Ornithodoros turicata is the source of this 175-nucleotide long non-coding RNA. RefSeq lists it as uncharacterized. The record is from RefSeq and is a predicted model, not a curated record. The transcript is spliced from 3 exons. Lineage: Eukaryota; Metazoa; Arthropoda; Arachnida; Ixodida; Argasidae.
GAAGCCUUCAGGCUCCUUGGUGGGACAGUUUCCUUGGGCCGUCCUUUCAUGAACCUCCAAGGUCCAGCGUCUUCGUGAGAGCCCCUCAGUCCAGGGUCCAGGGAGUCCGCCGCCCUCAGGCUACUCCCUGGGUCUGUUCCCCGAGCCUGGCUACUCUGCAGACUCCGAGCUCCAG